CCUCAGCCUCCCGAGUAGCUGGGACUACAGGCAACUGCUGUGUUUCUCAAAACCAAACUGCAGGAUUGGGCUGCACCAUGAACUGGGCUAGGCAUCUGAGAUCAGACCCAGGCUCAGCUCCUGCUUCCUGGCUUGUUCUGCCACCCUUGGUCUGUGCCCUCAUCCCUGGAGCCCCAAUUGCCUCAUCCCUAAUGGGGUGUCCUUGUUCAUAUUGAGGUUCUCUGCUGAAGGCUUACAGUCAGGUACGACUGCAAAUUAACGUUUCACAAAUCAAA
Molecule: non-coding RNA, 275 nt
Organism: Saimiri boliviensis boliviensis (Bolivian squirrel monkey)
Lineage: Eukaryota; Metazoa; Chordata; Mammalia; Primates; Cebidae
Source: RefSeq, a predicted model, not a curated record